This is a long non-coding RNA of Apis mellifera (honey bee), 609 nucleotides long. RefSeq lists it as uncharacterized. The record is from RefSeq and is a predicted model, not a curated record. The transcript has 3 exons. Lineage: Eukaryota; Metazoa; Arthropoda; Insecta; Hymenoptera; Apidae.
AACUAUCGAUAAUCGAUAAAAUAUCGAUAAUAAUCAACAGUCACGACUCUAGACAAAUUCAAUUGAAAUACUAGUUACCUACUUAUCUAUCUAUAAUUCACGAAUAUAAUAAAGAAGAUAUAAAGAUCUAAAAAAGAUGAAAGGAGAGGAUAAUUUAAUCGUGGAAACGUUGAAAUAACCAAACAAACAUUUUCCACCGUUUAAGAAAUGAUGGCCCAUAUCUCAUUCGGGACACGGAACAAACUCGGAUCAGUUUUGAUAUGCAACAUUGUAUUUAACAUACCAUCCUUCACCUUAUUUCAUUUAUCUCUCUAAUUUUAUCGCAUCUGGUUGCUGCCACACCUCCAUCCAACUGUAGAUAUCGCACGUGGAUUUACGUGAGGCAACGUACGAUUGAAACAUUGGCAACGAGUUCGAGGAAGGAAAGAUUAUUUCUCGAAGAUAUGAAGAGGAAAGAAGAGAUGCGAGGCUUUUACAUAACAUAAUUGUUAAUAUAUAAAUAGCUAAAACACUGAUUAUAAAAUAAAUGUAAAAAGCACAGGAAAAUAUUGGUUGAGGUUUAUUUAUUCAUAUAAAUAAAUUUUUAUUAAAAAUCUUUGUUCAAAUAUA